GUGGGGAAUCUUAGACAAUGGGCGCAAGCCUGAUCUAGCCAUGCCGCGUGAGCGAUGAAGGCCUUAGGGUUGUAAAGCUCUUUCGUGGGGGAAGAUAAUGACUGUACCCCAAGAAGAAGCCCCGGCUAACUCCGUGCCAGCAGCCGCGGUAAUACGGAGGGGGCUAGCGUUGUUCGGAAUUACUGGGCGUAAAGCGCACGUAGGCGGACUGGAAAGUCAGGGGUGAAAUCCCGGGGCUCAACCCCGGAACUGCCUUUGAAACUCCCAGUCUUGAGUUCGAGAGAGGUGAGUGGAAUUCCGAGUGUAGAGGCGAAAUUCGUAGAUAUUCGGAGGAACACCAGUGGCGAAGGCGGCUCACUGGCUCGAUACUGACGCUGAGGUGCGAAAGCGUGGGGAUCAAACAGGAUUAGAAACCCUGGUAGUCC
Molecule: ribosomal RNA, 425 nt
Filed under: uncultured bacterium
Lineage: Bacteria
Description: partial 16S ribosomal RNA
Rfam family: Bacterial small subunit ribosomal RNA
Source: RNAcentral